UGGGGAAUAUUGGACAAUGGGCGCAAGCCUGAUCCAGCCAUGCCGCGUGAGUGAAGAAGGCCUUAGGGUUGUAAAACUCUUUCGCCGGGGAAGAUAAUGACGGUACCCGGAGAAGAAGCUCCGGCUAACUUCGUGCCAGCAGCCGCGGUAAUACGAAGGGAGCUAGCGUUGUUCGGAAUUACUGGGCGUAAAGCGCACGUAGGCGGACUUGUCAGUCAGGGGUGAAAUCCCAAGGCUCAACCUUGGAACUGCCUCCGAUACAGCAAGCCUAGAGAUCGGGAGAGGUGAGUGGAAUUCCUAGUGUAGAGGUGCAAUUCGUAGAUAUUAGGAAGAACACCAGUGGCGAAGGCGGCUCACUGGCCCGAUACUGACGCUGAGGUGCGAAAGCGUGGGGAGCAAACAGGAUUAGAUACCCCAGUAGUCCCUGAGCGGGCUGGCAAGGCGCAU
This 447-nucleotide ribosomal RNA is filed under the name uncultured bacterium. Its description in RNAcentral is "bacterial SSU rRNA". It matches the Rfam family "Bacterial small subunit ribosomal RNA", at positions 355 to 825 of the family's 1533-position model. The record is from RNAcentral.